UUUUUACUUAAACAUUAUCAGAGAGGUUAUGAAUGAAGCCUUCCUGAAUGCUCAUUCAAGGUUGUACAAGAAGCAUGGCACCAGCAUCUGCAUCUGAUGAGGACCUCAGGGUGCUUCCACUUGUGGCAGAAGAAGGGGAGCUAGCAUGUGCAGAUACCACACGGCGAGAGAUGAAGGAAGAGAAAGAGGAGGAGGGUUCCAGGCUCUUUUUAACAAUCAGACCUCACAGGAACUAAUAGUGUGAGAAGAUGUUUAACAUAUUCUAAUAAGAUAUUCCUAAUAAACUGCCGUGAGAUAACUGCUGUA
This 306-nucleotide long non-coding RNA is filed under the name Pan troglodytes (chimpanzee). RNAcentral describes it as "lincRNA". The record is from RNAcentral. Lineage: Eukaryota; Metazoa; Chordata; Mammalia; Primates; Hominidae.